RNAcentral lists this ribosomal RNA (460 nucleotides) under uncultured bacterium. Its description in RNAcentral is "partial 16S ribosomal RNA". It matches the Rfam family "Bacterial small subunit ribosomal RNA", at positions 338 to 795 of the family's 1533-position model. The record is from RNAcentral.
CCUACGGGUGGCAGCAGUGAGGAAUAUUGGUCAAUGGCCGAGAGGCUGAACCAGCCAAGUAGCGUGAAGGAUGACUGCCCUACGGGUUGUAAACUUCUUUUAUCAAGGAGUAAAGUGAGGCACGUGUGCCUUUUUGUAUGUACUUUAUGAAUAAGGAUCGGCUAACUCCGUGCCAGCAGCCGCGGUAAUACGGAGGAUCCGAGCGUUAUCCGGAUUUAUUGGGUUUAAAGGGUGCGUAGGUGGGUUGUUAAGUCAGUUGUGAAAAUUUGCGGCUCAACCGGAAAAUUGCAGUUGAUACUGGCAGUCUUGAGUGGAAGAGAAGUAUGCGGAAUGCGUGGUGUAGCGGUGAAAUGCAUAGAUAUCACGCAGAACCCCGAUUGCGAAGGCAGCAUGCCGGCUUCCGACUGACGCUGAAGCACGAAAGCGUGGGGAUCGAACAGGAUUAGAUACCCGAGUAGUC